CCUACGGGAGGCAGCAGUGGGGAAUAUUGGACAAUGGGCGCAAGCCUGAUCCAGCAAUGCCGCGUGAGUGAUGAAGGCCUUAGGGUCGUAAAGCUCUUUUACCAGGGAUGAUAAUGACAGUACCUGGAGAAUAAGCUCCGGCUAACUCCGUGCCAGCAGCCGCGGUAAUACGGAGGGAGCUAGCGUUGUUCGGAAUUACUGGGCGUAAAGCGUACGUAGGCGGUUAUUCAAGUCAGAGGUGAAAGCCCGGGGCUCAACCCCGGAACGGCCUUUGAAACUAGGUAGCUAGAAUCUUGGAGAGGUCAGUGGAAUUCCGAGUGUAGAGGUGAAAUUCGUAGAUAUUCGGAAGAACACCAGUGGCGAAGGCGACUGACUGGACAAGUAUUGACGCUGAGGUACGAAAGCGUGGGGAGCAAACAGGAUUAGAUACCCUGGUAGUCCACGCCGUAAACGAUGAUAACUAGCUGUUCGGGCACUUGGUGCUUGAGUGGCGCAGCUACGCAUUAAGUUAUCCGUCCGUCGGGUAGGUACGGUCGCGAAGAAGUUAAAACGUUAAAAGGUAAAGUUAGUACGGUCGUGUAGUUACGUUGUCCGAACGGACGACGACGAGGGAGGAGG
RNAcentral lists this ribosomal RNA (618 nucleotides) under uncultured bacterium. RNAcentral's name for it is "bacterial SSU rRNA". The stretch from base 1 to 517 matches the Rfam family "Bacterial small subunit ribosomal RNA", at positions 338 to 873 of the family's 1533-position model. The record is from RNAcentral.